AUGUGUGCGAGCAAACGUGAGGGAGGAAUGGGUUUUCAUGAUAUGGAGGCUUUUAAUCAAGCGUUAUUGGCAAAGCAAGCGUGGAGAAUUAUGCAAGUCCCCUCUUCCCUGUGUGCACCUGUUCUCAAGGCACGUUACUUUGAUCAUGGAACAAUCCUCAAUGCAACCUGUCCGAGUGGUGCUUCAUACACUUUUAGAAGUAUUUUGUUCGGCCGAGACUUACUGCUUGAAGGGCUCAGGUGGGGGACGGCUCGAGCAUCCGCAUCCAUCAUGAUAGCUGGAUCCCACGCAAGGGUAACCUUAGGCCACUGGGCCAAGUGUUUUUGCUGGGGAUAA
RNAcentral lists this ribosomal RNA (336 nucleotides) under Triticum aestivum (bread wheat). RNAcentral's name for it is "partial small subunit ribosomal RNA". The record is from RNAcentral. Lineage: Eukaryota; Viridiplantae; Streptophyta; Magnoliopsida; Poales; Poaceae.